CAAGAACUUAAAACCUCUUCAACUCACACCUGACCUAAACCCAAACGCCUUAUUUUCUUCUGCAAUGCCGCUUGACAAACUCGACAGUGGUUCCAAAUAGCCAGAAAAUGGCACUUUCAAUUUUUCCAUCCUACAAGAUCUAAAUAAUUCUUGUCCUAAAAUAGGCAAACAGUCUGAGGUGCCUGACGUCCAGACAUUCUUUUACACAUUGUCCCCUCCCUAGUCUCUGUUCCCAGUGCGACUCGUCCCAAAUCCUCCUCCCUUCCCUCUCACCUGUCCCCUCAGUCCCAACCCCAGGCGUCGCUGAGUCUUUCUAAUCUUCCUUUUCUACAGACCCAUCUGACCUCUCCCCUCCUCCCCAGGCUGCUCCUCGCCAGGCCGAGCUAGGUCCCAAUUCUUCCUCAGCCUCCGCUCCUCCACCCUGUAAUCCGUUCAUCACCUCCCCUCCUCACACCCGGUCUGGGUUACAGUUUCGUUCCUUGACUGGCCCUCCCCCACCUGCCCAGCAAUUUCCUCUUAAAAACAUGGCUGGAGCUAAAGGCAUAGUCAAGGUUAAAGCUCCUUUUUCUUUAUCCGACCUCUCCCAAAUCAGUUAGCAUUUAGGCUCUUUUUCAUCAAAUAUAAAAAUCCAGCCCAGUUCAUGACUUGUUUGGCAGCAACCCUGAGACGCUUUACAGCCCUAGACCCUAAAAGGUCAAAAGGCCGUCUUAUUCUCAAUAUACAUUUUAUUACCCAAUCCGCUCUCGACUUUAAAUAAAGCUCCAAAAAUUAAAUUCCGGCUCUCAAACCCCACAACAGGACUUAAUUAACCUCGCUUUCAAGAUGUACAAUAAUAGAAAAAAGUUGCAAUUCCUUGCCUCCACUGUGAGACAAACCCCAGCCACAUCUCCAGCACACAAGAACUUCCAAACGCCUAAACCGCAGUGGCCAGGCGUUCCUCCAGGCCCGCCGCCCCCAGGAGCUUGCUACAAGUGCCAGAAAUCUGGCCACCAGGCCAAGGAAUGCCCGCAGCCCGGGAUUCCACCUAAGCCGCAUCCCAUCUGUGUGGGACCCCACUGAAAACUGGACUGUUCAACUCACCUGGCAGCCACUCCCAGAGCCCCUGGAACUCCAGCCCAAGGCUCUCUGACUCCUUCUCAGAUCUUCUCGGCUUAGCGGCUGAAGACUGACACUGCCUGAUGGCCUCGGAAGCCCCCCUAAACCAUCACGGACGCCGAGCUUUGGCUAACUCUCACAGUGGAAGGUUUGUGAACAUCCACGUGCAGAGAUUGGAUCUAUGGAAACGGCACUGCUCCAGAGACUGCGCUGAACCAGCAAAGAAUGAACUGUGAUAACAAGCAGGGAGCUCUGUCCCUGAGAACGCCUCACAGAAAGACUGAAACCACAGUUGCUGACCUGAGAGGGGAGCAGGAGGUGGAAACUGGAAGGCAGUAGUCUAACAUGAGAGCUGAAGAGGCUACACAGAGAUGGGAAGAUCUCCUAAUGCACUGAUCAUUUGUUGUCUCACAUGGUUAGGUAGAUUAUCAUACCACCUGCAAAUAAUUACAGUUUUGUCUUUUUCUUCCCCAUACUUAUACCUCUCAUUUUAAAAUUUAUUUUGUAUCAUUUUGUCUAGGGACCUCAGUACAAUUUUAAAUAAUCAUGGUUACAAUAACCAAAUGUAUCCAGCUUAGAUGGAAAUGUCAGUGUUUCAACAUAAAGUAUUUAUUAUAGAUUAAGUAUUUAUUAUAGAUGGCAGCAGAUACCCUUAUCAAAUUCAAAAAGGUUGGUUCUAGUGCCAAUUGACUUAGAGUUUUUCUUUCUUUCUUUCUUUUUUGUUUUUGGUUUAAAAUUAGGAGUGUAUCAGUUUGUCAGGGUUCUCCAGAGAAACAUAACCAAGAAGAUGGAUGAUGGAUAGAUGGAUGGAUGGAUGGAUGGAUGGAUGGAUGGAUGGAUGGAUGGAUGGAUAGACAGGCAGGCAGGCGGAUGGAUGGAUGGAUAGAUAGAUAGAUAGAUAGAUAGAUAGAUAGAUAGAUAGAUAGAUAAAUUUUAAGGAACUGGCUUACACCAUUGCAGAAGCUGGCAAAUCCAAAAUCUGCAGGGUAGGCUUGCAGGUUGGAGAGUCACGGAAGACCCAAUGCAGCAGUUUGAGCUUGAAAGUGGUCUGCUGGGAGAAUGUCUUCUUCCUCUGGGGAGGUCAGUCUUUUUUCUCUUAAGACUUCCAACUGAUUGAAUGAGGCCUACCCACAUUACAACAGCUGACAUUGCACAACAUAAAG
This 2258-nucleotide long non-coding RNA is filed under the name Homo sapiens (human). Its description in RNAcentral is "HSALNT0145999". The record is from RNAcentral. Lineage: Eukaryota; Metazoa; Chordata; Mammalia; Primates; Hominidae.